RNAcentral lists this transfer RNA (92 nucleotides) under Clostridia bacterium. RNAcentral's name for it is "tRNA-OTHER". Lineage: Bacteria; Bacillati; Bacillota; Clostridia. The record is from RNAcentral.
GCGACCUUUGGGGCUUAUCAGCCUUACUUAAUCAACCCCUGCGUUAUCUCUUAAUCAGGGUGUCCAGGGUUCGAAUCCCUGAAGGUGUACCA